RNAcentral lists this ribosomal RNA (649 nucleotides) under uncultured bacterium. Its description in RNAcentral is "bacterial SSU rRNA". The stretch from base 1 to 543 matches the Rfam family "Bacterial small subunit ribosomal RNA", at positions 338 to 873 of the family's 1533-position model. The record is from RNAcentral.
CCUACGGGAGGCAGCAGUGAGGAAUAUUGGACAAUGGGCGCAAGCCUGAUCCAGCCAUGCCGCGUGCAGGAUGACGGUCCUAUGGAUUGUAAACUGCUUUUAUGCGAGAAGAAACACCCCUACGUGUAGGGACUUGACGGUAUCGUAAGAAUAAGGAUCGGCUAACUCCGUGCCAGCAGCCGCGGUAAUACGGAGGAUCCAAGCGUUAUCCGGAAUCAUUGGGUUUAAAGGGUCCGUAGGCGGUUUAGUAAGUCAGUGGUGAAAUCUUCCCGCUCAACGGGGAAACGGCCAUUGAUACUGCUAGACUUGAAUUAUUAGGAAGUAACUAGAAUAUGUAGUGUAGCGGUGAAAUGCUUAGAGAUUACAUGGAAUACCAAUUGCGAAGGCAGGUUACUACUAAUGGAUUGACGCUGAUGGACGAAAGCGUGGGUAGCGAACAGGAUUAGAUACCCUGGUAGUCCACGCCGUUAAAACGAUGGAUACUAGCUGUUGGGUGUCGAACUACAGUGGUCGUAGACGAAGUAGUAGUAAGUAGUACCGACCGUACGGGAGGUACGGUUACGCGUAAGUAAGUAGUUAAACGUUAAAGUUAAGUUAAGUUAGUACGGCGUUGAGACGUUAGACCGACGGACGACGACGAGGGAGGAGG